GUAUACAGUCAUACUAUCCAGAAUGUUCCUUUCUCAUCUGAUCUUGGAAGCUAAGCAGGGUCUGGCCUGGUUGGUAUUUGGAUGGAAGACAUAUAGGGUUCCUUUAUUUA
This 110-nucleotide ribosomal RNA is filed under the name Microtus ochrogaster (prairie vole). The record is from RNAcentral. Lineage: Eukaryota; Metazoa; Chordata; Mammalia; Rodentia; Cricetidae.